CACGAAAUCCAGAAAUAUCACCAUUGAUUGAUCCAAUUUAUUUAAAGACUAAUCAUUACAUAAAAAAUACAAAUCUUGAAAGCAUCUGAACUAUACAAAGAUAAGGACAACUUUUCAUACUCAUGAGGAAUAGUUGUUUUCUAGAUAUCUUCCAAAAUAUGCAUAAAGGGGAUUGGUUUUAUAAAAGUUAUGCUGCUCUUUCCAAUUGCAAACCAAAUCACCAUGGCACCACCUACAAACUCUGUCAAUGAGUCAUUUUGACUCGAGAGCCACAAAGGUUAAAAUAGAAUAUAUUUUCUUCUUAACUACUUGCAUGAGCCUGCAUCUAGCUUUAGACUCUUCCUCCAAUCCUCUCCGCAACAGAGAUCCUCCUAUGAUGCCUCAAAAAAUCCUACUCCUAUUAUAGAAGCUUAUAAAACAGAAUGCAUAACUUUUAGCCAUUGUCGAGCAUGUUUCUACUCCAAAUAGUCAUCUCAGCAGGCAAUUGUGAAAACAAAAACCAUCUAUGUACCUAUAAUUUCAUGGGGGAAAAGAUAUUAAACAAAAGAAGAAAAUGAUACUAUUUCACACUAUUUAACAAAUCAGUUGGAUUUGAAGGAGUGUCCUGAAAUUGAUAGCACAACUCCAACAUGAUUAAUUUACGUACAGAAAAUUAUUUAGCAUAUGAAACAUUUUAUGUAUCCUCACUUCAACCACAAUAACAAAAUGUAUUUUCUAAAGUUAUUGAAAACGUGUUUUGAAGUGAACCACACUUAUACAUUUGAGACAUAAUAUAUAUAUGUGUGAUGAAGACUUCUGAGGGGGAAAUAGUUGAAUUUUUUCUCUUGGGAUAGAGUUACCUACAAAUAUAAGGCAAAAAAUAACAAAGAAUGUAACAUUAACUUUGGGGGAGGGGGGAUUUAAGAAUUACCAAACUUGAGAGUAAAUGUAGAAUUAAAUUUGACAUGAGGACAUCUGUCUUUAAUUCUUUAAUAAAUUCAUAUUGCUUUUGCUUUUCAGUCCAAUAAUCAAUACAAAUUAGGGGUUAGGGCUUCCAACUUAUCAAACAGAAUUAACUAUCAAAUAGAACACAAACUGUUCUAUUAGACACUACAAAGUUAACUUUUAACAUAUAACAGAUCAAUUGUACUUCGUCAUGUAUUUGAAACUUUCCUCAAUGGUAAGUAGGAAAUAAAUAUGAUACCUCCUCCAAACAGACAUUGUAGACAAUGAUUAUUGAAUCAUCCAUCGCUACAACAAUCACAUUGUUAUCAGAUGAGUGGCAAGCAAGACAUUGCUGCAGGUGUAAUAGGCAUGAUACUUUUCAUUUUCUGCAGUUAUCAAGAACAACAAGGAACAGUUUAUGAAAUCAAUAAUAGUAGGAUGAAAUCUCUAAGCUAUGGGGCAUUUCAAUUUUAAAGUAUUACUUGUUCGGGAGAAAUCAAAGAGCUCGGUGUCAUACAAAUUAAGGAUAACUGUAGAACAUAAAGCAAAUUCUGGAUUUAAGAAAUACAAAUCACAUGAAAGUAAAGUACCUGUUUAUACCCUGUUGUCAGUUUUCAUUCUUGAAAAUUCAAUUCCAUUAACACUUAACACUUACCGUAACUAACAUGAUUUGAUUACUUCAGUUUGGAACUGUAGGCAACUUUCUUGGGCAAAGGAACGGAUAUAGGGAAGGAGAAGCAUUUCAUUAUACAGCAUGUAAACUUCAUUUUUUUUAAUCACCUUAAACACGAGAGAAUAUUGAAAAUAGAGAUCGCUCAUCCGGAUAUCGAAAGUGCAUAAAAAUCAUUCUAGGUUAAAGCUACACAAGGUGAACAUGCUUUUGCAUCACUGCUGGACAGGCUGUUGGUCAACAACACCCCAUUUGUGGUUGGAAUAGUUGAGGAGUGCAUUUUGGUGUCGUUUACAACAUAAACACGUUGGUCAGCCGACAAACGUAAAUUUAUAACCCCUUUUCUUAUAGCCAAUAGAAGUUUCCCACAAGAGAGAUAUAUAAGCCUUUUUCUUGAAACUCCUUUACCUGACCAGUCAAAUUAGAAUCACUCUUCGACCUUUUUCAGAGUAGAUGAAUAUUAUCUACGACUAAAGCCAAAAGCAUAUUUCCUAGAUGAGUAUACAUCAAUCUCCACAUCAACCAAAUACCUCGGAGCACAAUGGAUUAUAGUUCAAUCAUUAUAUUUAUUCAAUAGGCGAUAAAAGAAAGCAACUAAGCAAAUAGUGUGCGUACGUGCUACAGAUAACUGUAUCAGCUGCUAAUGAUCUAGAGUUUCUAGGCAUGGUAUUUUUUUUCAGGGUAGACAUGAUUUCAAAAUUUUCAAUCCAAUAGCUAAAAGUAAUAAAUAGAAAAAUAAUAUCCAUAAGCAUAAAUCAUGGAAAAAUAUUUACUUUUCAAAGUAAGAUUAAAGAAAGAACUAAGGUUGGUUUAUGAAUAGUCCAUUAAAUUCUAAAGAUGAGACAGUCAUAACCAUACACAUGGAUCGCGUUCACAGUCUUUUCAUCAUCUUUUUUUUGAGAACUAAAUGAUCCAUUACUUUAGAGUUUCUCUGUCAAUAGAUAUACUUGGCAGACUUGGUUGUUCUUGAGAAAGUUUUUUAAUGAAGGCAAGACAAAGAUGUUUAAGUCAUACAUCUUCACCAUGCUUUAAUUUUAUAGCAACAUCAUUAUUGCCAACUUAAGAUGUUUAAAGAAAAUAAAACUACCAAAUUAUAGAAUACACACCUUGGGCGAGCUAGUACAGUGUCGAAGACCAUUGUUUGGAGGAUUUUCCAUAUGCAACAAGUAUCAUAUCCAUCUAAUAAAUGCAGAUAUCCAACUGCAUGAGAUGUUGAUUGUGGGUAGAAAAAACUUAUGGUCACCAACACUGUUUGAUUAAUUAUAGUUUAAGCAAGAUACAAAUAAAAAUAAUAAUUAAUGAACUAUGAUCAAUUCCAAACUAAUUUGUGUACUCUAUAUGAAUACCUCUCACUUAUUCUAAGAGAGAAAAUGAAAAAUAUAAAAAAGGAAAAGGAACUGUAAUAUAAUUUUCCAAGUAGUAAAUACCAUUCAAUAAAUUCACAAAGACACAUAAUAAACCUUUCAUUGAGAAACACAACUUUGAUAGAAGAACCUUCAGCAUAUUCAAAUGUCAACAUGUGCGUCACAUCAUCAAAAAUAUACAGAACUGGAGUUGAAAUUCAUAGCCUUUUUUUCUAACUUCAGUUAUGUAGCGGGUCACCUGUUCCAACAUUACAUUAUCUUAAAAGUCAUGCAAGGAUACUGAUAAAAAAUAAUUCACUAAUCUCAACUAAUCAUAUUUAAGUGUUUGAGAGUGUGCUUUGUGUACAAAUUUGAUACUUGUAACAGUACAUCUCUUUAUCACAAAACGUGACUUGAGUACUCUCUGAAAAAGAAGUUUGAAUAGCGGUAAGGAUGCACAUGAUAUUGACAAAAUGAACAGCUAAAGUCAGCAUUAUCGGGCUUCUAUAUGCUACUAUUGAUACUAUUCAAAAUUCACAAACCAAAGUAACCAUUGUUUCGAGAGUUAAAUGAGGAAUAAGCUUUUAUAAAAUAAAUAUAGAACAAAGCAAGUAACUUACCGUCGUGCCUUGCUUGACCAAAAUUAAGGAGUUUUCUUUUACUUCUAAAUUGAUUUUCAUUUUCCAAGAAGAAUAA
This 3633-nucleotide long non-coding RNA is filed under the name Solanum tuberosum (potato). RNAcentral describes it as "long non-coding RNA (STUB_LNC003591)". The record is from RNAcentral. Lineage: Eukaryota; Viridiplantae; Streptophyta; Magnoliopsida; Solanales; Solanaceae.